AACGAACGCUGGCGGCAGGCCUAACACAUGCAAGUCGAGCGCGCCCUUCGGGGUUAGCGGCGGACGGGUGAGUAACGCGUGGGAACGUGCCCUUCUCUGCGGAAUAGCCUCGGGAAACUGAGAGUAAUACCGCAUACGCCCUUUGGGGGAAAGAUUUAUCGGAGAAGGAUCGGCCCGCGUUGGAUUAGGUAGUUGGUGGGGUAAUGGCCCACCAAGCCGACGAUCCAUAGCUGGUUUGAGAGGAUGAUCAGCCACACUGGGACUGAGACACGGCCCAGACUCCUACGGGAGGCAGCAGUGGGGAAUCUUAGACAAUGGGGGCAACCCUGAUCUAGCCAUGCCGCGUGAGUGAUGAAGGCCUUAGGGUUGUAAAGCUCUUUCAGCUGGGAAGAUAAUGACGGUACCAGCAGAAGAAGCCCCGGCUAACUCCGUG
RNAcentral lists this ribosomal RNA (433 nucleotides) under uncultured bacterium. RNAcentral describes it as "partial 16S ribosomal RNA". It matches the Rfam family "Bacterial small subunit ribosomal RNA", at positions 29 to 507 of the family's 1533-position model. The record is from RNAcentral.